GAUGAACGCUGGCGGCGUGCCUAAUACAUGCAAGUCGAGCGAACGGACGAGAAGCUUGCUUCUCUGAUGUUAGCGGCGGACGGGUGAGUAACACGUGGAUAACCUACCUAUAAGACUGGGAUAACUUCGGGAAACCGUAGCUAAUACCGGAUAAUAUUUUGAACCGCAUGGUUCAAAAGUGAAAGACGGUCUUGCUGUCACUUAUAGAUGGAUCCGCGCUGCAUUAGCUAGUUGGUAAGGUAACGGCUUACCAAGGCAACGAUGCAUAGCCGACCUGAGAGGGUGAUCGGCCACACUGGAACUGAGACACGGUCCAGACUCCUACGGGAGGCAGCAGUAGGGAAUCUUCCGCAAUGGGCGAAAGCCUGACGGAGCAACGCCGCGUGAGUGAUGAAGGUCUUCGGAUCGUAAAACUCUGUUAUUAGGGAAGAACAUAUGUGUAAGUAACUGUGCACAUCUUGACGGUACCUAAUCAGAAAGCCACGGCUAACUACGUGCCAGCAGCCGCGGUAAUACGUAGGUGGCAAGCGUUAUCCGGAAUUAUUGGGCGUAAAGCGCGCGUAGGCGGUUUUUUAAGUCUGAUGUGAAAGCCCACGGCUCAACCGUGGAGGGUCAUUGGAAACUGGAAAACUUGAGUGCAGAAGAGGAAAGUGGAAUUCCAUGUGUAGCGGUGAAAUGCGCAGAGAUAUGGAGGAACACCAGUGGCGAAGGCGACUUUCUGGUCUGUAACUGACGCUGAUGUGCGAAAGCGUGGGGAUCAAACAGGAUUAGAUACCCUGGUAGUCCACGCCGUAAACGAUGAGUGCUAAGUGUUAGGGGGUUUCCGCCCCUUAGUGCUGCAGCUAACGCAUUAAGCACUCCGCCUGGGGAGUACGACCGCAAGGUUGAAACUCAAAGGAAUUGACGGGGACCCGCACAAGCGGUGGAGCAUGUGGUUUAAUUCGAAGCAACGCGAAGAACCUUACCAAAUCUUGACAUCCUUUGACAACUCUAGAGAUAGAGCCUUCCCCUUCGGGGGACAAAGUGACAGGUGGUGCAUGGUUGUCGUCAGCUCGUGUCGUGAGAUGUUGGGUUAAGUCCCGCAACGAGCGCAACCCUUAAGCUUAGUUGCCAUCAUUAAGUUGGGCACUCUAAGUUGACUGCCGGUGACAAACCGGAGGAAGGUGGGGAUGACGUCAAAUCAUCAUGCCCCUUAUGAUUUGGGCUACACACGUGCUACAAUGGACAAUACAAAGGGCAGCGAAACCGCGAGGUCAAGCAAAUCCCAUAAAGUUGUUCUCAGUUCGGAUUGUAGUCUACAACUCGACUACAUGAAGCUGGAAUCGCUAGUAAUCGUAGAUCAGCAUGCUACGGUGAAUACGUUCCCGGGUCU
Molecule: ribosomal RNA, 1372 nt
Filed under: uncultured bacterium
Lineage: Bacteria
Description: bacterial SSU rRNA
Rfam family: Bacterial small subunit ribosomal RNA
Source: RNAcentral